GAGGAAAGUCCGGGCUCCAUAGAGCAGGGUGCCAGGUAACGCCUGGGGGGCGCAAGCCUACGACAAGUGCAGCAGAGAGAAGACCGCCGAUGGCCCAAUUUCUUCGGAAUGGGAACAGGUAAGGGUGAAAGGGUGCGGUAAGAGCGCACCGUGCGUCUGGCAACAGUUCGUAGCAAGGUAAACUCCACCCGGAGCAAGACCAAAUAGGCUUCCACGUUGCGUUGCUCGCGUAAGGAAGCGGGUAGGUUGCUUGAGCCAGUGAGCGAUUGCUGGCCUAGACGAAUGGCUACUGCCGCGCAAGCGGAACAGAACCCGGCUUA
RNAcentral lists this RNase P RNA (320 nucleotides) under Vibrio aestuarianus subsp. francensis. Its description in RNAcentral is "RNaseP_bact_a". It matches the Rfam family "Bacterial RNase P class A", at positions 43 to 351 of the family's 367-position model. Rfam says of the family: Ribonuclease P (RNase P) is a ubiquitous endoribonuclease, found in archaea, bacteria and eukarya as well as chloroplasts and mitochondria. Its best characterised activity is the generation of mature 5'-ends of tRNAs by cleaving the 5'-leader elements of precursor-tRNAs. Cellular RNase Ps are ribonucleoproteins. The record is from RNAcentral. Lineage: Bacteria; Pseudomonadati; Pseudomonadota; Gammaproteobacteria; Vibrionales; Vibrionaceae.